CGUUUAUGCGGAAUGUUUAUUUGCUCACUGUCAAAAUCCAAAGUUUUAUUUAGGACGGUUAGCUAUUCUAAAACGCCAGUAGCUCCUUAAUUGGGCGUCUGUCGUGAGAGAAUGUUUGCCCCAUUGCUAAAUAAGUAUUUUGCAUAAACAUCUGCGUAGCCGAACAUUAAUUUAGAUCGGAUUAACUCUCUUUUAGUGGGGAACAAUAAGCUAUUUAUACCCCAGCACGCUGCUUUACCUGUAUAAUUUAUAAUUUGUUAAAAGUAAAAGUUAACAUGAAUUUGCUUAAUUUCUUCUGGUGAUGACAACAGUUGUUUUUCAUCACAAGAAGAAAAAUUAAACUAAACUCAAUAUAUUACUAUCAUUACCUGCGAAAAGAAUGAUGUUAUUUUACUAUGAACUAUGAAUAUAUGUACUGGUAUGAUGGCAUUUGAUAUUUUCAUGAAUAAGGAGACAGCUAUUAUAAUUAUAUAUUUAUUAUAAUAUUUUUGUUAUGAUAUUAAAUUUUUUAAAAACAUUAUGCGGCAUUGGAUUUUUACCUUUGAUAAAUGGUUGGUGCUCCAUAUUCAAACUUUAUGAAGUGAAAGAAGUACCGAAAAACCAUUUGGAAAAGUAGUAAUGUACAAUUUGAAAAAGUGUUCACUUUAUAAAUUAUGAAGGUUUAUUUACUUUAAAUUUGAUUCAAAACUUGUAGGUAUUUUUGUUAAUUUCUUUGCAAUGUAAUUUAAUCAGAAAAUCAAGUUAAAACAAAAUCUCAGGUUGUUUUGUAGAUCUCUGUUUGUUUUUUUUCAUUUUUUUUUAGACUAUAGUUUUGGAGUUUAGAUUUUUAAUGUAAAAAUGUAAAUACCAGUUUUGAGUAAUGAUAUUUUUUUAAAGAUCUAUAUUAUGUGAUUAUAUAUGUGAUUUUGUGUGGCCUGAUGCUUAGUUUUAUUGCAAAAUCUUUUAAUGUUCUAGUUAUGUAAGUUUUUUGUGUGUGUGUGUGUUUUUGAACUAAAUUUCCAUGGUUUGUGUAUACCUUAAUUAUUUUUUUGAAGAUGUCCACCUUUUAAGAAA
This is a long non-coding RNA of Hydra vulgaris (swiftwater hydra), 1053 nucleotides long. RefSeq lists it as uncharacterized. Lineage: Eukaryota; Metazoa; Cnidaria; Hydrozoa; Anthoathecata; Hydridae. The record is from RefSeq and is a predicted model, not a curated record.